GAUGAACGCUGGCGGCGUGCCUAAUACAUGCAAGUCGAGCGAACAGACGAGGAGCUUGCUCCUCUGACGUUAGCGGCGGACGGGUGAGUAACACGUGGAUAACCUACCUAUAAGACUGGGAUAACUUCGGGAAACCGGAGCUAAUACCGGAGAAUAUAUUGAACCGCAUGGUUCAAUAGUGAAAGACGGUUUUGCUGUCACGUAUAGAUGGAUCCGCGCCGCAUUAGCUAGUUGGUAAGGUAACGGCUUACCAAGGCAACGAUGCGUAGCCGACCUGAGAGGGUGAUCGGCCACACUGGAGCUGGGACACGGUCCAGACUCCUACGGGAGGCAGCAGUAGGCAAUCUUCCGCAAUGGGCGAAAGCCUGACGGAGCAACGCCGCGUGAGUGAUGAAGGUCUUCGGAUCGUAAAACUCUGUUAUUAGGGAAGAACAAAUGUGUAAGUAACUAUGCACGUCUUGACGGUACCUAAUCAGAAAGCCACGGCUAACUACGUG
Molecule: ribosomal RNA, 497 nt
Filed under: uncultured bacterium
Lineage: Bacteria
Description: partial 16S ribosomal RNA
Rfam family: Bacterial small subunit ribosomal RNA
Source: RNAcentral